GCCCCCUGCCUUCUCGCCUACCUCCCCGCCCUCCUCCUGCUAUCGCUCCUCCCCGCUGUCGCCUCCGUCUACACCAAGCGCAACACUCUCACCUUCCCACGCGUCCUCUUCGUUGUGCCCUGUGUCUGGCGGAGGCUCGCCGCCAAGUUCCUAGCCGCCUUCGCUCUCCUCUUCGCCUACCACGCCGCUGCCGUGCUCGUCUUCACGGCCUCCUCAUCGUCGGGUUCAACGGCUCCAGCCUCUCGGGCCUACUCCGCCCCAGCGCCCCCUCCCCGACCGCCUACCUCCCAACCCUUGCCCCCGCCCAGUGCAGCAGCCGGCCUGCUCCGUGCGCCUCAUCUGGGGCCUCCGAGACGGCAAGACGAAGACCAUCAGCGCGCUCCUGUGGUCCAUGCUGAUCGAGAACCAGAGGACGGUGACCUGCGCCCCGACCAACACCGCUGUGGCGGAGGUCGCGUCACGGGUCCUUGGUGUUAUCGAAGAGUCCAGCGGCGGCGGUGCUGCAACGAAGUGUUUCUUUGGCGAUGUCGUGCUCUUCGGCAACGAGGACAGGAUGGCUGUGGACCGGAAACUAGAAAAUAUCUUCUUAGACACGCGUGUUCGCCGUCUGCGUCAGUGCUUGAUGCCAAUCACAGGGUGGACAAAGUCCCUGAGCUCCAUGAUUGCACUUCAGGAGGAUUCGAUGGUUCCGUAUGAAAGGUAUGAUGAGGCCAUACAAGGUUGUGUAUUGGAUUUGGUUUCAGAAGAAAUCAAGCUAAGAAAUGUAACAGUUGUCUGUUCUUUACGGACGAUGGAUGACAAAAAAGUUAAGGAGAUGCAGAAAGAUUUACUGGAAGUGCAGAAAAAAGCACGAGAAGUAGAGCGAGAGAAAAUGUCAUUCGAGACCUACUUCCAGAGUAACUACAAGAAGCUCGCUAAGGAUUUGCGCACUUGUGUGGAGACUUUCGUCGAUGAUCUUCCCAGAUCCGCAACAUCAGAAGAAAACUUUUGCUGCAUGGCGGAGGUGCUGCUCUUGCUCGAUGCGUUUGGAGUGCUCGUGCAGUCUGAACCAGUCGAACAGCUUCAAGCGCUGUUCAAAAGGCACUCCGAUGUUAGGUUCCGGCUGAGGGAGGCGAUAUCCUCGUGUCUUCGCAAGCUAUGGCUCCUUUCUUCUAACUUUAAGCUUCCCGAAAUGUAUGACAGCCGAACGAUCGAUCUAGAGUUCUUGCUUCAGAAUGCUAAGAUCGUGCUCUGUACAGCUUCGAGCUCGUACCGCCUGCUCUACAUGCAGAAGGCCCAGCCCUUGGAGGUCCCUGUCGUGGACGAGGCCGCGCAGCUUAAGGAGUGCGAGUCACUGAUACCCCUGCAGCUGCCUGGCGUCCGUCACGCUGUUCUCAUCGAUGAUGAGUACCUGCUUCCCGCAUUGGUCAAAAGCAAGAGUCGAUUGACACGAGGAAGGCGAUCCGCCUGGGAGUGGUGUCGCCCUACAAGGGCCAGGUCCGGCCAUCGAGGAGAAGCUUGGCAAGCAGGUGUACUCGAUGCACGAUGGGUCGUUCUCGGUGAAGGUGCGGACCGUGGACGGGUUCCAGGGCGCGGAGGAGGACGUGAUCAUCUUCUCCACCGUGCGGAGUAACACCGCCGGCAAGAUUGGCUUCCUCGCCGACACCAACCGCACCAAUGUCGCGCUGACGCGGGCCAAACAUUGCCUGUGGAUCCUGGGCAACGUGAAGACGCUGGCGAGCGGCAAAACGAUAUGGCGGCAGAUCGUGGACGACGCAAGGAGAGGGGCUGUUUCUUGGACGCCAAGGACGACCAGGACCUCGCAUGCGCCAUAAUCAAGGCCUCCAUCGAGCUGGACGGAGUGGAGAAUCUACUCAAGUUUGACAUGCUGCGGAUCGGCGGCUCGAGAAGGUCCGGGGUAUGAUGGUAAACUCGACUCGCAAGCUCCGGGGUACCAACUACCAAGUUAGAAACACCAACUUUGGCCGAAGUCUGUGUGUCUUAAGUUUUGAACUAUCUUGCUUAUGAGGUGGUGAUGAUGAUUGUCUGAUUGAUCUAGAUCCCUUAAAUAAAUUUAACAUCGUAUGAAGAGAAGUAUGCUGUAUAUCCUUUG
This is an RNA transcript of Zea mays, 2092 nucleotides long. RefSeq lists it as uncharacterized. Lineage: Eukaryota; Viridiplantae; Streptophyta; Magnoliopsida; Poales; Poaceae. The transcript is spliced from 3 exons. The record is from RefSeq and is marked validated.